This is a non-coding RNA of Camelina sativa (false flax), 188 nucleotides long. NCBI's taxonomy places the organism in Eukaryota, Viridiplantae, Streptophyta, Magnoliopsida, Brassicales, Brassicaceae. The record is from RefSeq and is a predicted model, not a curated record.
UUUAUCUACUGUAAAUAGGUAUUUUUGCUGAUCUUUAUGCGAAGCCUAUAACUUGUCUCCAUUUUCAGAAACCAUCAUGGGAGAAGGCAGCAAAACAAAUAAAAGAGAGAUAUGAUCCAGAAAUGGACGGACGUGUUCUCGUGGCAAAAGUUGACUGCACCCAAGAAGCUGAUCUCUGUCGGAGGUAU